CACUAUCGUUAACUGAAUACAUAGGUUAACGAGGCGAACCGGGGGAACUGAAACAUCUAAGUACCCCGAGGAAAAGAAAUCAACCGAGAUUCCCCCAGUAGCGGCGAGCGAACGGGGAGCAGCCCAGAGUCUGAAUCAGCUUGUGUGUUAGUGGAACGGUCUGGAAAGUCCGACGGUACAGGGUGAUAGUCCCGUACACCAAAAUGCACAGGUUGUGAACUCGAAGAGUAGGGCGGGACACGUGGUAUCCUGUCUGAAUAUGGGGGGACCAUCCUCCAAGGCUAAAUACUCCUGACUGACCGAUAGUGAACCAGUACCGUGAGGGAAAGGCGAAAAGAACCCCGGCGAGGGGAGUGAAAAAGAACCUGAAACCGUGUACGUACAAGCAGUGGGAGCACCUUCGGGUGUGACUGCGUACCUUUUGUAUAAUGGGUCAGCGACUUAUAUUCUGUAGCAAGGUUAACCGUAUAGGGGAGCCGCAGGGAAACCGAGUCUUAACUGGGCGUUAAGUUGCAGGGUAUAGACCCGAAACCCGGUGAUCUAGCCAUGGGCAGGUUGAAGGUUGGGUAACACUAACUGGAGGACCGAACCGACUAAUGUUGAAAAAUUAGCGGAUGACUUGUGGCUGGGGGUGAAAGGCCAAUCAAACCGGGAGAUAGCUGGUUCUCCCCGAAAGCUAUUUAGGUAGCGCCUCGUGAACUCAUCUUCGGGGGUAGAGCACUGUUUCGGCUAGGGGGUCAUCCCGACUUACCAACCCGAUGCAAACUACGAAUACCGAAGAAUGUUAUCACGGGAGACACACGGCGGGUGCUAACGUCCGUCGUGAAGAGGGAAACAACCCAGACCGCCAGCUAAGGUCCCAAAGUCAUGGUUAAGUGGGAAACGAUGUGGGAAGGCACAGACAGCCAGGAUGUUGGCUUAGAAGCAGCCAUCAUUUAAAGAAAGCGUAAUAGCUCACUGGUCGAGUCGGCCUGCGCGGAAGAUGUAACGGGGCUAAACCAUGCACCGAAGCUGCGGCAGCGACACUAUGUGUUGUUGGGUAGGGGAGCGUUCUGUAAGCCUGCGAAGGUGUGCUGUGAGGCAUGCUGGAGGUAUCAGAAGUGCGAAUGCUGACAUAAGUAACGAUAAAGCGGGUGAAAAGCCCGCUCGCCGGAAGACCAAGGGUUCCUGUCCAACGUUAAUCGGGGCAGGGUGAGUCGACCCCUAAGGCGAGGCCGAAAGGCGUAGUCGAUGGGAAACAGGUUAAUAUUCCUGUACUUGGUGUUACUGCGAAGGGGGGACGGAGAAGGCUAUGUUAGCCGGGCGACGGUUGUCCCGGUUUAAGCAUGUAGGCUGGUUGUCCAGGCAAAUCCGGAUAAUCAAGGCUGAGGUGUGAUGACGAGGCACUACGGUGCUGAAGUAACAAAUGCCCUGCUUCCAGGAAAAGCCUCUAAGCAUCAGGUAACAUCAAAUCGUACCCCAAACCGACACAGGUGGUCAGGUAGAGAAUACCAAGGCGCUUGAGAGAACUCGGGUGAAGGAACUAGGCAAAAUGGUGCCGUAACUUCGGGAGAAGGCACGCUGGUGUGUAGGUGAAGUCCCUGCGGAUGGAGCUGAGACCAGUCGAAGAUACCAGCUGGCUGCAACUGUUUAUUAAAAACACAGCACUGUGCAAACACGAAAGUGGACGUAUACGGUGUGACGCCUGCCCGGUGCCGGAAGGUUAAUUGAUGGGGUUAUCCGUAAGGAGAAGCUCUUGAUCGAAGCCCCGGUAAACGGCGGCCGUAACUAUAACGGUCCUAAGGUAGCGAAAUUCCUUGUCGGGUAAGUUCCGACCUGCACGAAUGGCGUAAUGAUGGCCAGGCUGUCUCCACCCGAGACUCAGUGAAAUUGAACUCGCUGUGAAGAUGCAGUGUACCCGCGGCAAGACGGAAAGACCCCGUGAACCUUUACUAUAGCUUGACACUGAACAUUGAGCCUUGAUGUGUAGGAUAGGUGGGAGGCUUUGAAGCGUGGACGCCAGUCUGCGUGGAGCCAACCUUGAAAUACCACCCUUUAAUGUUUGAUGUUCUAACGUUGGCCCCUGACCGGGGUUGCGGACAGUGUCUGGUGGGUAGUUUGACUGGGGCGGUCUCCUCCCAAAGCGUAACGGAGGAGCACGAAGGUUAGCUAAUCCUGGUCGGACAUCAGGAGGUUAGUGCAAUGGCAUAAGCUAGCUUGACUGCGAGCGUGACGGCGCGAGCAGGUGCGAAAGCAGGUCAUAGUGAUCCGGUGGUUCUGAAUGGAAGGGCCAUCGCUCAACGGAUAAAAGGUACUCCGGGGAUAACAGGCUGAUACCGCCCAAGAGUUCAUAUCGACGGCGGUGUUUGGCACCUCGAUGUCGGCUCAUCACAUCCUGGGGCUGAAGUAGGUCCCAAGGGUAUGGCUGUUCGCCAUUUAAAGUGGUACGCGAGCUGGGUUUAGAACGUCGUGAGACAGUUCGGUCCCUAUCUGCCGUGGGCGCUGGAGAAUUGAGGGGGGCUGCUCCUAGUACGAGAGGACCGGAGUGGACGCAUCACUGGUGUUCGGGUUGUCAUGCCAAUGGCACUGCCCGGUAGCUAAAUGCGGAAGAGAUAAGUGCUGAAAGCAUCUAAGCACGAAACUUGCCCCGAGAUGAGUUCUCCCUGAGACUUUAAGUCUCCUGAAGGAACGUUGAAGACGACGACGUUGAUAGGCCGGGUGUGUAAGCGCAGCGAUGCGUUGAGCUAACCGGUACUAAUGAACCGUGAGGCUUAACCUU
This 2758-nucleotide ribosomal RNA is filed under the name Klebsiella pneumoniae. RNAcentral's name for it is "bacterial LSU rRNA". It matches the Rfam family "Bacterial large subunit ribosomal RNA". Lineage: Bacteria; Pseudomonadati; Pseudomonadota; Gammaproteobacteria; Enterobacterales; Enterobacteriaceae. The record is from RNAcentral.